RNAcentral lists this long non-coding RNA (4076 nucleotides) under Piliocolobus tephrosceles (Ugandan red Colobus). Its description in RNAcentral is "lncRNA (ENSPTEG00000016946.1)". Lineage: Eukaryota; Metazoa; Chordata; Mammalia; Primates; Cercopithecidae. The record is from RNAcentral.
UUGGAACCUUAUUUAGUAGAUAAUUUAUGUAUAAGUUUAAAUUCGAGCACUAAUAAUAUAACUAAAUAUAGGUUUUCGCACUCUGGUGAGACCCACCUAGGUAAUCAGAGCAACACAAAUGAUGAAACACAUAUAACUACUCAAGAUACAACAAACGAAAUCAACAACCCUAACCACACAGCUAUCGAAUUAUGUGAUAAGUUUAGGUUAGCGAAAAAAAUAAAUUCUUUUUUUUAUAAAAAGAAUAUACAAAUUGAUGACAUAGUAAACAAACUGUUUGUGGAUAAUAAAGAUAAUGUAUAUAGCAAGAUUUUAAAAAAUAAUUUAUUACUAAUAAAGAAAUUAAAAGAGUUUAAAAUGGAGACACUGUAUCCUAUAUUCAAUGCAAGUCUAAUAUUUUUAUUUGAUGAUUAUUAUUUUUUUAUUAUACAGAAUAUAAAAUUAGUAAUAGAAGACAAAGAAAAAAAAUUUCAAGAUCAUAACAUUUUUUUUAAUUUAUCUUUUAUUUUAUUACAUCAAUUUGCAAAGGAUGUAAAAAUAGAAAAUUAUUUAGUUUCGAUUUUUUAUAUUUUAAAACUUUCUUUAAAUAAAAUAAAAUUAUUAAACAUGGUUGAAGAGUUAGAUAGUAACAAUAACCGCGACACGGAACAUAUAGUAAUUUACGAUAAAAAAAAACAUAGUUUUGAAAACAAUAUAAAAUAUUAUAAUAUAAAUAAUGAUCAAAAUAUUGUGGAAAACAAUAACAAUAUGCUUGAAAAAAAAAAAAAAAAUAAUCAAGAGAAUGAGUAUGACAAUGUGUCAUUCUCUAAUAUGAUAGAAGAUAAAAAAAGUAGGAAAAUAAAAACUGUGAACGAAAAAGAUGAUACUAAUCAACAAAAAAAUUUUAUAGAAGAAAAAAUAAAACUAUAUCAACACGUUUUUUAUAUAUUUCUAAAACUGUUAAAACAUAUUUUAAAAACAAACAAUUUAUUUUACAACUUUAAAUAUAUUCUAUAUGACAUUUUAUUUUCGGAAUAUUCUAAUAAAAACAUAAUCAUGUCAUGUAUGAAAUGUAUAUUAGAUAAAACAAAAUUAAAAGAGAUAUAUAACUAUUGUAUAGAAACAUUAAACAAUGUAAAAUUUACAAAAGUCGAAGAAUUGACCAUGUUUUUGGAUAAGGAAAAACCGACUGAUAUGUUGAUCGUUUCUUCAGAUGAUGCAGAGGACAAUACAAAAGUAAUGAAGCAAGGUUAUAAGGUAGUUGCUAAGAAAAAGAACCUCGAAAAAGAGCAAAUGAUUAAAAACAAAAAAGGGUAUAAAUAUAUGGACAUCACAAGUGACGAACAAAGUAACAAAAAACAGCAAGGACGACUGUAUAAAAACAAAAACGACAGCUUUAAGGUAGAUACAAGUAAUAACAUCAUAUGUGAUAAUAAAAACAGUAAUAAUUACCUUUUUCUGGUUGUUAAUAACAAGAAACAUUUUAAACUAAGAUUUGGUAACAAUGACAGAGUAAAAAAUACUACAGUUUCCUCUUUAUAUAUUAAUCUGAUUAUACUAUAUUUUAUAAUCCAACAGAAAAAUAAAAAUAAUCACAAAAGUAAGUUAUAUAAUAGGAUAAAAUUAACUGUACAAGAUUGUUUCGAGAUUAUUAACAAACUAUUAUGUAUUUUAUAUUCAACAGAAGAUGAUUUACCGUUUCAUAUUUAUUAUAAUACCUAUUUAAAAUAUGUAUGUUUAAAACUGUUUAAAGAGUUUUAUAAUGUACUAACAACUAAAGAAAUACGCUUGAUAUUAAAACAUUUAAAAAGUAAAUAUAUAGAAGAUGUGACCUAUAUGGAUACAAAAUUGAAUACAAUAAAAAAAUUAAAAAACGAUAUAUUACAUUUUUUUACUUUUUUAUUAACUAGCGAAAUGGAAAAUUAUUUAUUUCAAAAGAAUGACAGUGGUAGUAAUAACUAUAAUGAAUAUACUAUGCAUAAUGAUGAUAGUGGGAACAGUAGUAAUAAAAAAAAAAAGAAAAUAAAAAAAAAUAAUAAGAGUGAUAUUAAAAAUUUAGAUACCAAAUGUUAUCAACUGUUUUAUCUACAUAAUUUAAAUUGUAAUAAUAUUAUGCUAAAAAAUCCAACUUUUUUUUUUAUGUUAAAUAGUUUAUUAUUUAUUUUUAAUAAAAAAUAUGAUAAAUCAAGUUACUACCAAUUAGUAUAUAUUUGCUUAAAUGAGAAACAAGAAAAUCGGAAUUAUAUUUUACAAAAAAUUAUAUCAUCAAUAAAAUAUUAUUUUAAGCUUAGUCAAUUUUAUAGUAAUAUAAAAAAAUUAAACAAAAUAAAAAAAAUCAUGUUACCCGAAGAUAUUAUUAAUCAUUCAGUUUUAUUAUAUAUCAUUAGAACCACUAUCAUUAUUUUUUUACUAAUAGAUAAUUAUUCAGUUAAUAAAAAUGACAUAAAAGAGGAACAAGAAAAAAAGCAAAACGCUGAUAAAAUAAAUAAUUGCAUUACCUAUAAAAUGUAUAAAAAUGAUUAUAUAAAAAAAAAAUAUUUAAAAUAUUAUUAUACACAAUUAAAUUUUUUAUUAUUCAGAAUUUUUUAUAAUGAAAAAAAUAUACCCUAUUUUUUAAAAAUAUUUUUCAGCACAUUAUAUAUUAUAUCUUUUAAAAAAACGAAUAAAGAUAUUUUAUAUUUUUUCGACAAAAUAUUUUCCUUUGGAAAAAAUAACGAAUUAGUUGAACCUAAAAAACGAAAAGAGAGUGUUGUUAGUUAUGAGUUAGACGUUAAAAAAGAGGGAGCAAGAACAGCAGAAGUAGAAAAACCAAAAGAGGUACUUUCCCCCAAAGAUAUGUUGUAUAGCAAUAUGGAGGAAAAGAACAAAAAAUAUAUCUAUCCUGGAAAACAAACAAAAACAAACAAAAUUGUGAAAAAAAACGAUAAUUCAGAUUAUUCAGAAAUUGAAGCAUCAAGUGCUGCUGCUAGUACUAGCAGUAGUAAUAAAGCGAAAACAAAUAAUCAACAUGUGCUAACUAAACAAACAAAGGAAAAAUUAAAUAAUGAAACUGAGCAAAAAAAAAAAAGGUAUAAUCCUUCUUCUAAUGUACCAAAUAAAACAUAUAUUGCCACAUCUGAUAGUUUAAGUGAAACUUCUACUUCUGAUUCAGACAGUACAUAUGUACCGAGCCGUUAUGAUGGUAAUAAGCGUAAACAAAAAGCCAACGUAGAUAGAAAUGACAAUAAUAAACGAAAGAAGUCGACGAACAAAAGCCAUACUACUGCGACAACGUUAAAAACUUUAAGAAUAACAAAAAAUAAUAAAAAAACGAAUAUUGAUAAUAAUAAUAAUAAUAAUAAUAGUAAUAAUAAUAAUAGUAAUAAUAAUAAUAAUAGUAAUAACGAUAGCGCACAUGACAAUAGUACCUGUAGCAUCAGCGACAGUAAUAAUAAUAAUAACCACAAAAUUAGUGGAAAUGAUAAAAAAAAACCGAAUGUUAACACGAAAAGACAUAUGAGCGAAUCAUUAUCAAAAGUGCAAUUACUAAAACAGAGUAGCAAUAUAAACCAAAAAAUUGAACAAAAUGAUAUAGAAGAAGUAAAAAAAAAUGCAAGUUCGAACUCAAACUCGAAUUCGAACUCGAACUCGAACUAUGCAGAGAACUUUGAAUUUAACGGAGCUUUAUCAAUAAAAAUUUUAAAUAAUUUUUUACAUUUGUGUAAACAAUUUCAUAAAGAUUUGGAACUAAAAAUAUAUAAUGGAGUAAUAGCAAAUCUAAAAGAAAAUAUAAAUGACAAAGAAAAGUUAAAAAAAUUUUUAAGGACAAAUUUUAACAAUAAGGAAAAAGAAUCAAUCAAAUAUAAAAAAAAAUUCGAACUAUUAAAAAUUAUUAAUACAAAAAUUAUUUUUCUUAAUUAUGUCAAAGAAAAUUUAAAAAAAAAAAAGUCUCUUAUAGCGAGGCUGAGUGAGCUAAACUUAAACAUUUUUAAAAAUAAGUCAUUGUUCCAUAUUGAGUUGGAUUUUGUAUAAAUUUGCGAAACGUAAGUUGGAAAUACAUAAAAAGAAAAUGCAUGAAAUGGGGAUUAGCCAUAAUAAACACACAAGAACAGCAAGCA